AUGGAAUGCCACAGUGAACUGAGCAAGGCUCCACCUUUGGCUAUUUGCAAUGUCCAGUAUGAUGCAGAAUCAGCCAUCCACACUAGACCAUGUUCGGAAAAUGUAUUCACCACACCACAAAAAUUGUACAGUGCACCAUUCUGUGGCUCAUCUUGUACUCCAGAGUGUGAUGAUGACAUCAGGCCAGCUAUAGGGAUGACCUUUACAGAUUUGAACGCAGCCAAGGAUUUCUAUGAAGCUUAUGCACAUCAUGUUGGUUUUUCAGUACGUGUAGGACAACAUAAGACAACUAAUGGUGUGAUUACUCACAAGCGUUUCUACUAUGAUCGUGAAGGUUUCCGCCAGGAGCGGAAAGCUUUGGAAGAACAACGUUAUAAAGAGUUGCAAGAGGACCAUGUCAACCUACAUACGAUGCCUGUGUUGAAGACAUCUUGGGCGAUUGAAAAGCAUGGCAGUGAGGUUUUCAUGCAUGAGGUAUUUGAUGAUUUUCAACAUGAGUUACUUGCUUAUAGGGAUCAUUGCCUUGUUGAGAUGAUGGCACAUGAAGGUUCUUGCACAUGUAAGUUGUUUGAGACACAUGGUAUCCCGUGUCGUCAUCUGAUCCAUGUCCUAAGAACCGCCCGGGUAAAGGAACUGCCAAAACACUAUGUACUCAAAAGGUUUAGAAAAGAGUACAAAACAGAGCCAGUCUUUGAUGAAGAUGGCAUUCUGUUGGAAGCCAAUGAGAGCAGUUCAAUUGAUCCGGAGAUACAAAAACUAAUUUUAGAAACACGUGAGAAGAUGGAAGAACUUUUAGUACAAGCGAAGCAAUCUCAGGUCGGCUUACAAUUCUUCAGAGAUCAUAUUUUUGCACUUGGAGAGAAAUUGUCUACUCUAGUUCCAGCGAAAGAACAAACUCAAACAGAAGAAUAUGAGGAAUUUCUAUGUUGUUCCAUUCAAAGUGAGGUUGAUAUCCAUCCUCCAAAUGAUAUUCGUUCAAGGGGUAGAAUAAAAAGACUAAAGGGAUACAGGGAUAAGGGUGGAAAGAAAGGACAGAAAGAGAAGAUGAAGAAAAAGGAAGUGCAGAAGACAUAA
Molecule: ribosomal RNA, 1074 nt
Filed under: Triticum aestivum (bread wheat)
Lineage: Eukaryota; Viridiplantae; Streptophyta; Magnoliopsida; Poales; Poaceae
Description: partial small subunit ribosomal RNA
Source: RNAcentral